AACGAACGCUGGCGGCGUGCCUAAUACAUGCAAGUCGAGCGAGAAAGCCUCUUCGGAGGUGAGUAAAGCGGCGCACGGGUGAGUAACACGUGGGCAACCUACCCUUGAGUCUGGGAUAACCCGGGGAAACUCGGGCUAAUACCAGAUACGGCUGCGGGGUCUUCGGAUCCUGUGGAGAAAGAUGGCCUCUUCUUGAAAGCUAUCUCUCGAGGAUGGGCCCGCGUCCUAUUAGCUAGNGGUGAGGUAACGGCUCACCAAGGCAAAGAUGGGUAGCUGGUCUGAGAGGAUGGCCAGCCACACUGGGAACUGAGACACGGUCCAGACUCCUACGGGAGGCA
RNAcentral lists this ribosomal RNA (338 nucleotides) under uncultured bacterium. Its description in RNAcentral is "bacterial SSU rRNA". It matches the Rfam family "Bacterial small subunit ribosomal RNA", at positions 29 to 350 of the family's 1533-position model. The record is from RNAcentral.